UAGUCCAUGCCGUAAACGAUGGGUACUAGGUGUUGGAAGGCAAGCCCUUUCAGUGCCGUAGCUAACGCGUUAAGUACCCCGCCUGGGGAGUACGAUCGCAAGGUUGAAACUCAAAGGAAUUGACGGGGGCCCGCACAAGCGGUGGAGCAUGUGGUUUAAUUCGAUGCAACGCGAAGAACCUUACCUGGGGCUUAAACUGUACUGGACCGUUACAGAGAUGUAACUUUUCGACUUGUCGAACUAGUAUAGAGGUGCUGCAUGGCUGUCGUCAGCUCGUGUCGUGAGAUGUUGGGUUAAGUCCCGUAACGAGCGCAACCCUUACUGCUAAUUGCCAGCGAGUAAUGUCGGGGGACUUUAGCGGUACUGCCUGCGUUAAGCAGGAGGAAGGUGGGGAUGGACGUCAAGUCCUCAUGGGCCUUUAUGUCCAGGGGCUACACACGUGCUANAAUGGUGGGUACAGGAGUGGCAGCUACAUCGUGAGAUGAU
This 486-nucleotide ribosomal RNA is filed under the name uncultured bacterium. RNAcentral's name for it is "bacterial SSU rRNA". It matches the Rfam family "Bacterial small subunit ribosomal RNA", at positions 791 to 1266 of the family's 1533-position model. The record is from RNAcentral.